CCGUGGCUGGGCUCCCCCAUCCCAUUUGACAGCACAGACCAGUCACUCUUCUCUACUUGCACGGUGAUAACCCUCGGUAAUGGGAAGCAAGUAAGAUUUUGGAAAGGCCGGUCGCUGCAUAGCAUAGCUCUUGCUGAUAUUGCCCCUGAACUGUUUAAUUUGGCACGACGAAAGAACCUCUCUAUCCGUGAAGUGUUGGCUGGCAAUAGAUGGAUGAAUGGUUUGGAACGUAUCAACCCCGAGCAGCUCCUGGACCAACUUGUCAAGCUUUGGGACAUGAUCCAUCCCACUGUCCUCUCGAAUGUUCAUGAUAGCAUUCAUUGGAGGCUCUCAAACGGCGGAUGUUACUCUGCUGCAUCUGCUUAUUCUGCUCAAUUCGUUGGUCGUUCCACUGACCACCAGCUGCAUGCAACUUGAAAGAUCAAGAGCGAGCCCAAGGUGAAGUUCUACUUCUGGUUGUUAAUUCAGAACAUGAACUUGACAACAGAUUGUCUUGCUACCAGGGAUUGUUCUCACAACGGAAGUGCAUGUUUUGUGAUCAGGAGCUCGAGUCGGCUGCCCAUCUUACGCUGA
This 573-nucleotide ribosomal RNA is filed under the name Triticum aestivum (bread wheat). RNAcentral describes it as "partial small subunit ribosomal RNA". Lineage: Eukaryota; Viridiplantae; Streptophyta; Magnoliopsida; Poales; Poaceae. The record is from RNAcentral.